This is a long non-coding RNA of Priapulus caudatus, 237 nucleotides long. RefSeq lists it as uncharacterized. The transcript has 3 exons. The record is from RefSeq and is a predicted model, not a curated record. NCBI's taxonomy places the organism in Eukaryota, Metazoa, Priapulida, Priapulimorpha, Priapulimorphida, Priapulidae.
UCAUUGCCUGGGUGGGCAGCCAGCGCACGCCCAGCAGCCCUACAUGGGAAGCUUUCUCGGUAGGUUUCCUCAUCCGAUGACAUAGCAACGAGGUUUCAGGGCGACGUGUACGCGCUCAACACGAGAACACUGCUCAUCAAGGGCUUUAGCUACGACGGCCAGCGCCGACGCGUUCUUCUGGGCGGGAUCACAAGGUUCGGUUCCUACAACGGAGGUUUCGUCGUUCCUGACGAGAGC